This 1369-nucleotide ribosomal RNA is filed under the name uncultured bacterium. RNAcentral's name for it is "bacterial SSU rRNA". It matches the Rfam family "Bacterial small subunit ribosomal RNA", at positions 28 to 1381 of the family's 1533-position model. The record is from RNAcentral.
GACGAACGCUGGCGGCGUGCCUAAUACAUGCAAGUAGAACGCUGAAGAGAGGAGCUUGCUCUUCUUGGAUGAGUUGCGAACGGGUGAGUAACGCGUAGGUAACCUGCCUUGUAGCGGGGGAUAACUAUUGGAAACGAUAGCUAAUACCGCAUAACAAUGGAUGACACAUGUCAUUUAUUUGAAAGGGGCAAUUGCUCCACUACAAGAUGGACCUGCGUUGUAUUAGCUAGUAGGUGAGGUAAUGGCUCACCUAGGCGACGAUACAUAGCCGACCUGAGAGGGUGAUCGGCCACACUGGGACUGAGACACGGCCCAGACUCCUACGGGAGGCAGCAGUAGGGAAUCUUCGGCAAUGGGGGCAACCCUGACCGAGCAACGCCGCGUGAGUGAAGAAGGUUUUCGGAUCGUAAAGCUCUGUUGUAAGUCAAGAACGGGUGUGAGAGUGGAAAGUUCACACUGUGACGGUAGCUUACCAGAAAGGGACGGCUAACUACGUGCCAGCAGCCGCGGUAAUACGUAGGUCCCGAGCGUUGUCCGGAUUUAUUGGGCGUAAAGCGAGCGCAGGCGGUUUGAUAAGUCUGAAGUUAAAGGCUGUGGCUCAACCAUAGUUCGCUUUGGAAACUGUCAAAACUGAGUGCAGAAGGGGAGAGUGGAAUUCCAUGUGUAGCGGUGAAAUGCGUAGAUAUAUGGAGGAACACCGGUGGCGAAAGCGGCUCUCUGGUCUGUAACUGACGCUGAGGCUCGAAAGCGUGGGGAGCGAACAGGAUUAGAUACCCUGGUAGUCCACGCCGUAAACGAUGAGUGCUAGGUGUUGGAUCCUUUCCGGGAUUCAGUGCCGCAGCUAACGCAUUAAGCACUCCGCCUGGGGAGUACGACCGCAAGGUUGAAACUCAAAGGAAUUGACGGGGGCCCGCACAAGCGGUGGAGCAUGUGGUUUAAUUCGAAGCAACGCGAAGAACCUUACCAGGUCUUGACAUCCCGAUGCUAUUUCUAGAGAUAGAAAGUUACUUCGGUACAUCGGUGACAGGUGGUGCAUGGUUGUCGUCAGCUCGUGUCGUGAGAUGUUGGGUUAAGUCCCGCAACGAGCGCAACCCCUAUUGUUAGUUGCCAUCAUUCAGUUGGGCACUCUAGCGAGACUGCCGGUAAUAAACCGGAGGAAGGUGGGGAUGACGUCAAAUCAUCAUGCCCCUUAUGACCUGGGCUACACACGUGCCACAAUGGUUGGUACAACGAGUUGCGAGUCGGUGACGGCGAGCUAAUCUCUUAAAGCCAAUCUCAGUUCGGAUUGUAGGCUGCAACUCGCCUACAUGAAGUCGGAAUCGCUAGUAAUCGCGGAUCAGCACGCCGCGGUGAAUACGUUCCCGGGCCU